UACUCGAGUGGCGAACGGGUGAGUAACACGUGGGUGAUCUGCCCUGCACUUCGGGAUAAGCUUGGGAAACUGGGUCUAAUACCGGAUAGGAACCAUCUUUAGUGUGGUGGUUGGAAAGUUUUUUCGGUGUAGGAUGAGCUCGCGGCCUAUCAGCUUGUCGGUGGGGUAAUGGCCUACCAAGGCGGCGACGGGUAGCCGGCCUGAGAGGGUGUACGGCCACAUUGGGACUGAGAUACGGCCCAG
RNAcentral lists this ribosomal RNA (243 nucleotides) under uncultured Actinomycetales bacterium. Its description in RNAcentral is "partial 16S ribosomal RNA". It matches the Rfam family "Bacterial small subunit ribosomal RNA", at positions 88 to 334 of the family's 1533-position model. The record is from RNAcentral. Lineage: Bacteria; Bacillati; Actinomycetota; Actinomycetes; Actinomycetales.